RNAcentral lists this unclassified non-coding RNA (391 nucleotides) under soil metagenome. Its description in RNAcentral is "partial contains 5.8S ribosomal RNA, internal transcribed spacer 2, and large subunit ribosomal RNA". The stretch from base 1 to 122 matches the Rfam family "5.8S ribosomal RNA", at positions 35 to 154 of the family's 154-position model. The record is from RNAcentral.
GAUGAAGAACGCAGCGAAAUGCGAUACUUGGUGUGAAUUGCAGAAUCCCGUGAACCAUCGAGUCUUUGAACGCAAGUUGCGCCCGAAGCCACUAGGCCGAGGGCACGCCUGCCUGGGCGUCACACGUCGUUGCCCCCCCAUCUACUCCUUCGGGAUUGCGGGGGGCGGUUGAUGGCCUCCCGUGCGCCUCGUCGCGCGGUUGGCAUAAAUGCCAAGUCCUCGGCGACGCACGCCACGACAAUCGGUGGUUGCGAAACCUCGGUUGCCCGUCGUGUGCGGUCGUCGCGCAUCGAGGGCUCGAAAAAAUUGCCGGGCUCCGGCUCGGCUUUCAACGCGACCCCAGGUCAGGCGGGGUUACCCGCUGAAUUUAAGCAUAUCAAUAAGCGGAGGA